This 77-nucleotide transfer RNA is filed under the name bacterium. RNAcentral's name for it is "tRNA-Arg". It matches the Rfam family "tRNA". From Rfam's summary of the family: Transfer RNA (tRNA) molecules are approximately 80 nucleotides in length. The record is from RNAcentral. RNAcentral also lists the same sequence under 11 other names.
GCGCCCGUAGCUCAGCUGGAUAGAGUACCUGGCUACGAACUAGGGGGUCGGGAGUUCGAAUCUCUCCGGGCGCGCCA